This 845-nucleotide ribosomal RNA is filed under the name uncultured Planctomycetales bacterium. Its description in RNAcentral is "SSU rRNA". It matches the Rfam family "Bacterial small subunit ribosomal RNA", at positions 24 to 864 of the family's 1533-position model. Lineage: Bacteria; Pseudomonadati; Planctomycetota; Planctomycetia; Planctomycetales. The record is from RNAcentral.
UCAGAAUGAACGUUGGCGGCGUGGAUUAGGCAUGCAAGUCGAGCGAGAAUCUGUUGAAUGAUCCUUCGGGUGAAUGAUUCAGAGGACAGCGGCAAACGGGGUAGUAAUGCAUAGGUAUGUACCCUCUGGUCGGGAAUAGCCACGGGAAACUGUGGGUAAUGCCCGAUGAUCUGGUGACAGCAAAGGUGUGAUUCCGCCAGAGGAGCAKCCUGUGUGGUAUUAGCUUGUUGGUGAGGUAACGGCUCACCAAGGCUAAGAUGCCUAGGGGGUGUGAGAGCAUGGCCCCCACCACUGGGACUGAGACMCUGCCCAGACACCUGCKGGUGGCUGCAGUCGAGAAUCUUCCKCAAUGGGCGAAAGCCUGACGGAGCGACKCCSCGUGCGGGAUGAAGGCCUUCGGGUUGUAAACCGCUGUCAGAGGGGAUGAAAUCGUUGGGGGCUAUCCCCCUUCGUUGACAGAGCCUCAGAGGAAGCGCGGGCUAAGUUCGUGCCAGCAGCCGCGGUAAUACGAACUGCGCGAACGUUAUUCGGAUUCACUGGGCUUAAAGGGUGCGUAGGCGGCCUGUUAAGUAGGGCGUGAAAUCUGUCGGCUCAACCGGCAAAUUGCGUUCUAAACUGGCAGGCUUGAGUGGGUCAGGGGUGUGUGGAACUUCCGGUGGAGCGGUGAAAUGUGUUGAUAUCGGAAGGAACGCCGGUGGCGAAAGCGACACGCUGGGGCCUGUCUGACGCUGAGGCACGAAAGCCAGGGUAGCGAACGGGAUUAGAUACCCCGGUAGUCUUGGCUGUAAACGAUGAACACUAGGUUGGGGGGGCUUGUUCCUCCCAGCCGUAGCGAAAGCNUUAAG